GUUUUUUUGUUGUUUUUUUUUUCUUCAUAUUUAUAAAAAAGUGCUUGCAGGCUGAGACUUAGCAUGCCAAGUUUCAGCCUAGAGCGAAUUUUUACAGCUGAGUUAUAAACCCCUGAAAAUAGGGUUUAUAAUGGAAGUGCUGACACAACCUUAACUAUCACAAUGAGAAUGGCACAGCUAUAAUCAAAAGUACAUAGUGUACUUUGCCUUUGACUAACAUAAAUAGUUGUCAGGAUGGACUCCAAUAGAGCUCUCCAUGUUAUUUUGACUCCAGCACAAUGGAAGUAAUUCCUUAUUAUGGUGGGUGAUCAGUGGGUUUCCACUGGAGUAUGAAGAUAAUAUCCUCCAACUAGACCAAGCCUUUGAUGCUGAGGAUAUUUAACUGAUUUUACUGUUGCUG
Molecule: long non-coding RNA, 400 nt
Filed under: Coturnix japonica (Japanese quail)
Lineage: Eukaryota; Metazoa; Chordata; Aves; Galliformes; Phasianidae
Description: lncRNA (ENSCJPG00005018260.1)
Source: RNAcentral